Molecule: long non-coding RNA, 248 nt
Organism: Coregonus clupeaformis (lake whitefish)
Lineage: Eukaryota; Metazoa; Chordata; Actinopteri; Salmoniformes; Salmonidae
Exons: 3
Source: RefSeq, a predicted model, not a curated record
CCUCCUUUACACCAGAAUGGCACCCUAUCCCCUACAGGCUAUAGGUUAGGAGAGUUAGGGUCAGGGGUUAUAGGUUAGGAGAGUUAGGGUCAGGGGUUAUAGGUUAGGAGAGUUAGGGUCAGGGGCUAUAGGUUAGGAGAGUUAGGGUCAGGGGCUAUAGGUUAGGAGAGUUAGGGUCAGGGGUUAUAGGUUAGGAGAGUUAGGGUCAGGGGCUAUAGGUUAGGGUCAGGGGCUAUAGGUUAGGAGAG